This 301-nucleotide ribosomal RNA is filed under the name uncultured bacterium. Its description in RNAcentral is "partial 16S ribosomal RNA". It matches the Rfam family "Bacterial small subunit ribosomal RNA", at positions 509 to 807 of the family's 1533-position model. The record is from RNAcentral.
CAGUCGCCGCGGGAAUACGUAGGUGGCAAGCGUUGUCCGGAAUUAUUGGGCGUAAAGGGCUCGCAGGCGGUUUCUUAAGUCUGAUGUGAAAGCCCCCGGCUCAACCGGGGAGGGUCAUUGGAAACUGGGAAACUUGAGUGCAGAAGAGGAGAGUGGAAUUCCACGUGUAGCGGUGAAAUGCGUAGAGAUGUGGAGGAACACCAGUGGCGAAGGCGUCUCUCUGGUCUGUAACUGACGCUGAGGAGCGAAAGCGUGGGGAGCGAACAGGAUUAGAUACCCCUGUAGUCCCUGUCUCUUAUAC